Molecule: long non-coding RNA, 395 nt
Filed under: Gallus gallus (chicken)
Lineage: Eukaryota; Metazoa; Chordata; Aves; Galliformes; Phasianidae
Description: long non-coding RNA NONGGAT003028
Source: RNAcentral
UGCAGAUGGGAGGAAGCAAAUGAACUCCUGGUUUUGCCUUUGCUUGCAUGCACAGCUUUUGCUUUUACCUAGUAAACUGCCUUCAUCUCAAACCAAGGUUUCUCACACUUGUACCUCUGAUUCUCUACCCUACACCACCUGGGGAGUCAGCGAGUGGCCAUGCGGUGCUGAACUGCCUGCUGGGUUAAACCACACCACCUCCAUCAGUACUGUGGAUAAGAUCCCCCUGAGCCACCUCUUCACCGGGAUGAGCGGUCACUGCAGCACAGGGCAGGGAAGUGGGGCAGAGCUGACGGGAGCCAUGCAGUCUGACAGGUUUGCAAGUCCCAUUUCCAUACUGCACGGAGGACCUUCAUUGACAUCAGCCGUCUUUUGGCUGACAACAGAAACUGAUC